GCCCACAAGGCCUUUACUGACGCUAAAGCUCGAAGGUGCGGGUAUCGAACAGGAUUAGAUACCCUGGUAGUCCGCACGGUAAACGAUGGAUGCCCGCUGUUUGCGAUAUAGUGUGAGCGGCCAAGAGAAAUCGUUAAGCAUCCCACCUGGGGAGUACGCCGGCAACGGUGAAACUCAAAGGAAUUGACGGGGGCCCGCACAAGCGGAGGAACAUGUGGUUUAAUUCGAUGAUACGCGAGGAACCUUACCCGGGCUUGAACUGCAGGGGAACGAUCCAGAGAUGGUGAGGUCAGCAAUGACCCCUGUGGAGGUGCUGCAUGGUUGUCGUCAGCUCGUGCCGUGAGGUGUCGGCUUAAGUGCCAUAACGAGCGCAACCCCUUUCAUUAGUUGCCAUCACUUCGGGUGGGCACUCUGGUGAUACUGCCACCGUAAGGUGUGAGGAAGGUGGGGAUGACGUCAAAUCAGCACGGCCCUUACGUCCGGGGCUACACACGUGUUACAAUGGGUGAUACAGAGGGCCGGUGCAUGGCAAUGUGCAUCAAAUCUUAAAAGUCAUCCUCAGUUCGGAUUGGGGUCUGCAACCCGACCCCAUGAAGCUGGA
This 601-nucleotide ribosomal RNA is filed under the name uncultured bacterium. Its description in RNAcentral is "bacterial SSU rRNA". It matches the Rfam family "Bacterial small subunit ribosomal RNA", at positions 724 to 1330 of the family's 1533-position model. The record is from RNAcentral.